UGGGGAAUCUUAGACAAUGGGGGCAACCCUGAUCUAGCCAUGCCGCGUGAGUGAUGAAGGCCUUAGGGUUGUAAAGCUCUUUCAGCUGGGAAGAUAAUGACGGUACCAGCAGAAGAAGCCCCGGCUAACUCCGUGCCAGCAGCCGCGGUAAUACGGAGGGGGCUAGCGUUGUUCGGAAUUACUGGGCGUAAAGCGCACGUAGGCGGAUUGGAAAGUUGGGGGUGAAAUCCCGGGGCUCAACCCCGGAACUGCCUCCAAAACUACCAGUCUUGAGGUCGAGAGAGGUGAGUGGAAUUCCGAGUGUAGAGGUGAAAUUCGUAGAUAUUCGGAGGAACACCAGUGGCUAAAGCGGCUCACUGGCUCGAUACUGACGCUG
RNAcentral lists this ribosomal RNA (376 nucleotides) under uncultured bacterium. RNAcentral's name for it is "bacterial SSU rRNA". It matches the Rfam family "Bacterial small subunit ribosomal RNA", at positions 355 to 748 of the family's 1533-position model. The record is from RNAcentral.